RNAcentral lists this ribosomal RNA (468 nucleotides) under uncultured bacterium. RNAcentral's name for it is "partial 16S ribosomal RNA". It matches the Rfam family "Bacterial small subunit ribosomal RNA", at positions 28 to 507 of the family's 1533-position model. The record is from RNAcentral.
GACGAACGCUGGCGGCGUGCUUAACACAUGCAAGUCGAACGGAAAGGCCCUGCUUUUGUGGGGUGCUCGAUUGGCGAACGGGUGAGUAACACGUGAGUAACCUGCCCUUGACUUUGGGAUAACUUCAGGAAACUGGGGCUAAUACCGGAUAGGAUCUCCUGCUGCACGGUGGGGGUUGGAAAGUUUCGGCGGUUGGGGAUGGACUCGCGGCUUAUGAGCUUGUUGGUGGGGUAGUGGCUUACCAAGGCUUUGACGGGUAGCCGGCAUGGGAGGGUGACCGGCGACAUUGGGACUGAGAGACGGCCCAGACUCCUACGGGAGGCAGCAGUGGGGAAUAUGGCACAAUGGGCGGAAGCCUGAUGCAGCAACGCCGCGUGCGGGAUGACGGCCUUCGGGUUGUAAACCGCUUUCGCCGGUGACGAGGCGUGAGUGACGGUAAUGGGUAAAGAAGCACCGGCUAACUACGUG